Solanum pennellii is the source of this 569-nucleotide long non-coding RNA. RefSeq lists it as uncharacterized. NCBI's taxonomy places the organism in Eukaryota, Viridiplantae, Streptophyta, Magnoliopsida, Solanales, Solanaceae. The transcript is spliced from 2 exons. The record is from RefSeq and is a predicted model, not a curated record.
CCUUUUUCAAAUUUCAGAUUUUUCUCACUUUUUUUGUUUUAAUUGUUAUUGCUAAAUUCAUGAACAAUAGCAGGAGACUUGUUUGUUUAUGUGGGGCUCCUCCAAUUCUGAAAAUUUCAUGGACAAAUGACAAUCCCGGACGUAGAUUUUUCGGUUGUAGACACUAUGGGUCCUCAUUUCGAAAUUCUUGUAAGUUUUUCGAUUGGUAUGAUCCUGAAUUUCCGACCCAAGCGAAUAUUGUAAUUUUGGGUUUGUUGAAGAAAACCAACAAACAAGAAGAACAGCUCAAGUGCAAAUGGAUAUUGAAACUGAUUUUGGGUAUUAGUUUGAUAUGCAAUGUGAUAUUGUUCUUUUAUUUAGUGUGUUGUUGAAUUUUUUUUUAAUGGAAUUGUUAUUAGUUUGGUUUGGUGUUCCUUGUUCAACAGAACUAGGAACUCAUUUUGUGGAUUAGUUUGGUUUGGUAUUCUAUUAAUGUAUGUUUUUGCUGUUUUUGCUGAUCAAUACAAUUACAUGUAAUGGGUACUAUGAUACCAUGAAAUAAUAACAUGAAGGCAACAAACAUAACAUAA